This 254-nucleotide ribosomal RNA is filed under the name uncultured bacterium. RNAcentral's name for it is "partial 16S ribosomal RNA". It matches the Rfam family "Bacterial small subunit ribosomal RNA", at positions 524 to 776 of the family's 1533-position model. The record is from RNAcentral.
CACGUAGGGUGCGAGCGUUGUCCGGAAUUAUUGGGCGUAAAGAGCUCGUAGGCGGUGUGUCGCGUCGGCCGUGAAAACCUGCAGCUCAACUGUGGGCUUGCGGUCGAUACGGGCAUCACUGGAGUUCGGCAGGGGAGACUGGAAUUCUUGGUGUAGCGGUGAAAUGCGUAGAUAUCAAGAGGAAUACCGGUGGCGAAGGCGGCAUCCUGGACCGGCAUUGACGCUGAAGCGCGAAAGCUAGGGGAGCAAACGGG